Long non-coding RNA from Eriocheir sinensis (Chinese mitten crab), 2673 nucleotides. RefSeq lists it as uncharacterized. Lineage: Eukaryota; Metazoa; Arthropoda; Malacostraca; Decapoda; Varunidae. The record is from RefSeq and is a predicted model, not a curated record. The transcript has 2 exons.
UGUCUCUAGCCUGUCCUUUCCUUUCCUUUGUGUGGGUUGAGCUUUCUAGAACUCUUGUGAGGCGCGCCAAGUUUCUUUUAUGUGAAUUUUUGCUCUGUGGAUCUUUUGUUGAGUGCCGAUUUUCCUCUGUGUGGGUUCAGCUGUCUUGAUUUCUUGUGGGGCGUCAAGUUUAAUCUGUGUGGGUGAACUUUUUUGAUCUUUUGUGAGCCGCCAAGUUUCUGAACCAUAUAUUAUAACUGGUAGGAGACGCAUUCUUCUUGCUCUUCACGAUAUCACUAUGUUUACCAAAAAGCCUUCCAUCGCCCACCCCCCAAAAAAAAGAAGGAAAGGAAAAGAGAAAGCGGUAACAGUAAGGAAGAAGAAGAAAAGAAAGAGAUAAAGUUAAAUAAGAAAGAUAAUGGAGUUUAUGAACCGUACAGUAUGUUAGGACCAGCAGGAUACACGGAUUGUUCUUGUUCUUCACUGGUAUUACUAUGUUUACGAAGAGCCCUUUGUGCCAGAAGAAAAGAAGAAAUGGAGGAUGAGAAGCAGUGAGAAAUAACCAAGUAAAGUAAGAAAGACAAUACAGUUUCUGAACCGUAUGUUAGGACCAGCAGGAUACACGGAUCCUUCUUGUUCUUUACUGGUAUUACUAUGUUUACCAAAAGCCCUCCCUCGCAAAAGAAAAAGAAGGAAUGGCAGAAAACAGGCUGUAAUAAGAAUAAGAUAAGAAAGAUAAUACUGUUUCUGAAUCGUAUGUUAGGAUUCCCAGGACACACUGAUUCUUGAUAUUCCGGAUAAGUGUUUACCAAAAGUCCUUUAGUCUAGAAGAAAAAGAAGAAUGGGAAGAGAAAAGGUAGUAAGAAGAGGAAAAAGUAAGAGAAAGAUAUGCUCAACACGACCCCCUCACAAAUUAAUCGGAAGAAAAGGAAGAAGAAAAGAAAGAGAAUGGCAGUGACCAAAAGAUAAAGUAAAAAAAAAAAAAAAAUGUCACACUUGACCUCCAUCCAUAGCAGUCAGAAGAAAAGAAGAAAGAGGAGGAAAAAAGCAGUGGUAGGCAGAUAAAGCAGAAGAAAAAGAAUACAUAAAUCUUGACCCCUUUACGCAGGUUAUCGAAAUCUAUGAAAAGCAAAACAAGAAGAUAAAAUAAAAGAGAAAGAUAACUGACUCUCUCACAAAAGGGAAGUAAGAGCAAAGGCAGUGAUAAGAGAGUGAAGUAAAAGAGAAAGAAAGAAAAUAUUAAACUCCACCCUUCACUGACUGUUAAGGUCCCUCAAAACAAGACAAGAAGGCAAAGUAACAAAGAAAGAAAAUGGCAAACUUGACUCGCUCACGAAUUAGUCCGAAGCUAUUGAAGAAGAAAAGGAAAAAGCAAUGAAAGGAAGAGAAAGUUGAAAGAAAGAAUAUAUUAAUCUCGACCCCUUCACAAAUUUGUCCGAAGAAAAAGAAGAAAGGAAAGGGACUGAAAAUAAUAAGGCAGUGAAGCCAAGAAAAGAGGAAAAAGUUAAGAGUAAAGAAGGGAAACAUUACACUCGACCCCUUCACAAAUUAGUCAGUAGAAAAAGAAUAAAGGAAAGGGAAAGAAAAAAAUUAGGCAGCUAAGACAGGAGGAAAAAGUAAAGAGGAAAGAAGGAAAACAUUACACUCGAUCCCGUCAACAAACUAUUCAGAAGGAAAAGAAGAAGAAAAGGAAGAAAAACGAGCAGUGACGGAAUAAAAAAAAGGAUAAAGGAAGAAAAUAGAAUAAUAAACUUGACUCCCUCACGAAGGAAAACGAAGAGAAAAAGGCAAUGAAAAGAAGGGAAAGUUGAAAGAAGGAAUAUGUUAAAAUUGGCCCCUUCCCUUUCACAAAUUAUCGAGAUUCGUUAGAAGCAAAACAAGAGGAGAAAAUAGUAAAAAAAAAAGAAAAAUGUUAAACUCAGCCACCUCAAAUUCGGCACAAGAAACAGAUGAAGAAAAGAAAGAAGAAAAGACAGUGAUUAGAGAAGAAAGCAAAAUAAAUAAAAAAAAAGCCAAACUUGACCUUUUCCCCUUCUCCCCCUUCACAAAUUAUCGAGGCCCUUUAAAAGCAAAACAAGAAGAGAACGUGGUAUAUAAAAGAAAAAAAGUUGAAGUUGUCAGAAGGAAUAGAAGAAGAAGCGGAAAAAUAUGAGACAAUGAUGAAAGAGAAAGUAAAAUAAAGAGAUGCUAAACUUGACCCCCUCCUCUCAUUCCUCCUCCUCACAAAUCGUCGCUGUCCAUCCAUGCUUGCAGGUGGCUGGCUGGCGGCGCGGCGGCGAGGUGGAAGCGGCCUGGCGACUCCUUUAGCGGGGAAGGUGAACUGGCGGCGUGCUGGCUCCAGGGACGGCAGUGUUGCUUUGGCUCUCGGCAGAACUGGACCCACCUUCAUCGCUCUCCCGGACCGCAACCCACGCUCUCCCACGCCCACUCGCACAUCCGCCGCCCAUAUCUACAAGCCCGACGCCCGCCCACCAACUGAGGAAAACAACGCUAAGGCUCUGACACCCAGGCCCACAUCGCCUUUCCCGCUGCUUCGUCUGGACUCUAAGCUGAAAGGUAAGUUUGAAAGCGAGGACAAAGAGAAUCCAGUAAAAAGAUAAGUGUUUGUGUGUGUGUGUGUGUGUGUGUGUGUGUGUGUGUGUGUGUGUGUGUGUGUGUGUGUGUGUGUAUGUGUGUGUGUGUGUGUGUGUUUUA